Molecule: RNA transcript, 2084 nt
Organism: Microplitis mediator
Lineage: Eukaryota; Metazoa; Arthropoda; Insecta; Hymenoptera; Braconidae
Gene name: E3 ubiquitin-protein ligase MARCHF2
Exons: 8
Source: RefSeq, a predicted model, not a curated record
GUCAGUUUUCCCUGUCAUUUCAUAUAUUUUUAUUAUUAUUUGUUAUCACCUUUUUUUACCUCUACCUUUUGCACGUAUCCUAUAUAUGUAUAUAUAUAUAAGUAGACAUACGUAUGUAAUUAUACUAAAAAGAGAAGGAAAGAGAGAGAGAGAGAGACAGAGUAAGCACAUUUUCAUUGUCAGCAAAAUGUGGCAAAAUACAUGUGAAGUAAUUUUCGAGAGAAAUUAAAGUACAGGUGCAACAACAGCUAGUAUGGGAACAGGGAAAACUGAAAGAGUGAAACAGUAGAUAUAAAAAGAGAGAGAAGAAGUGAGAAAGGGUGAAAGAUAUCAUAUAUAUAAGAGAAACAAAUAAAUAGUGCAAUUGUACGUUUGCUUGAGUUGGCUGUUUUAUUAAACGUAAUUUUAGUCUGUCAUGUUCGAGACACAGACAGAGAUUCCAGACAAGGGAGGGUUUUCUCAUCACCGACCAACGGCAUCCACGGAAGACCUUUCGCCGCAAGUCAGAGAUAGUCAAAGCUGCUCGAGCAACUCGACUGGCCAAAGUGAACGACGUUUGAGCCCCAGUCUCAUUUCCGUCGGUUCUUGUGUCUGUCGGAUCUGUCAUCAUCCAAGUGGUAUUACUGAGACACUUGUGUCACCUUGUAGAUGCAAAGGAACACUAGAGUAUGUUCAUCUUUCAUGUUUGGAACGGUGGUUAAACCAGUCUUGUCGUAACCACUGUGAGUUGUGUCGCUACCGUUUCAAUGCUGUAGAGACGCCUCGUUAUCACUGGCAAGAAUCAUUGAGAAUAUGGAUGAGCCACCCAAGAAAUUUGCAUCACUUAAAGUCUGACCUUGUGGUACUCACACUACUUACACUAGUUACACUGGGUCUCGUGGUGAUUUGUUUACUGGGCAUGAGAUAUUUUAUUAUCGAGGGAAGAAAAAUCGGUAUAUCAAGACUGUGGACACGUGGUGCUAUAGUUUUUUUUAUUACCAUUGUCAUUCUUGGAUACUGUACUACCGUUUAUCUUCUUGUCAAGGAACAGCUUGCACCCUGGUACAGAUGGUGGAAAACUACAGUGAACAUAAGAUUGGUGACGGAAUCACUAGAACAACAGCAGCAUCAUCAACAGGGAACGAGUCGAGGUUCGAUAAUUCCAGGUCAUCUGGGUGAGGAAACUACCGACACAACUACCAGCAAAUGUACGAUUUCGAUCAAUGAAAUACAAGUUGAUGCUGAGAAAGCAGUUGCAUUUAAAGUUUAACGCGACGGGCUUUUAAUCAGCGAAUGAAAGUAGAGAUGCAAUUCCUGACGAUGAGAAAAUAAAAAUAAAAAAAAAAAUCUGGAGCUAAGAAAAAUAAAUGAGCGAGUAGUAAUUUCCGUUGGCAGAACGUGUAAGCUAAAUUUUAUUCAGAGGGCGACAGUUGUACAAGUUAUUGGCAUACCCAACCAAUACCGAGUUGUAUUCCAAUUUUCCAGAUGGUCGAGCUACAGGAAUAAAAUAUUGCACUGACGAAACGGGUUGAAAUGAUAUACAGUCAAAAUUCAGAAAGAAUCGACGUACUUUUUUUUUUUUUUAAACUCUGAGCAGUUGUACAGUUUAUACACCCUCUGCUCUACACAUCUCUACCUCUGUCUCUGUCUCUAUUUUUAUACGUACUGUUAUUUUAUAAAUUUUAUUUUUAGCUCAUAUUUUCCGCGCAUACUCGAUAACUACUUUUUAUACAAAUUGUUUUUUAAAUUUAAAUUUUCUUGUAUGUAAAAUUUUUUUUCAUUUUUUUCAAUUUAUAAUUAAAUUCCGUAGAGUUGGUUGAAGUCUUUUAUUAUACGUCAUUUCGUAGGAAGUAAAACAGAUCGUAAUGCAGAAAUAUUUACCUGGUAACAGGAAAAGUUGUGAAAAUGCCGAGGUUAAUAUUCAUUAAAAUACAGAAUGAGAUGGAGAGCGAAUGGUGGUGGUGAUGAGGGUGGUAGUGGCAGAGUAAUUGCAAAGUUGCAGAUGCCAGGCCGUCGUUCAGGCCAAUAAUAAAUUUUUCACAACAACUUGAGUCUCAUUCUCUUUAUAUUUAUAUACAUAAAUAUGUAAAGACAUAUAAUUGUCA